This 405-nucleotide ribosomal RNA is filed under the name uncultured beta proteobacterium Band07962. RNAcentral describes it as "bacterial SSU rRNA". It matches the Rfam family "Bacterial small subunit ribosomal RNA", at positions 223 to 621 of the family's 1533-position model. Lineage: Bacteria; Pseudomonadati; Pseudomonadota; Betaproteobacteria. The record is from RNAcentral.
GGAGCGGCCGAUGUCUGAUUAGCUAGUUGGUGGGGUAAAGGCCUACCAAGGCGACGAUCAGUAGUUGGUCUGAGAGGACGACCAGCCACACUGGGACUGAGACACGGCCCAGACUCUACGGGAGGCAGCAGUGGGGAAUUUUGGACAAUGGGCGCAAGCCUGAUCCAGCAAUGCCGCGUGAGUGAAGAAGGCCUUCGGGUUGUAAAGCUCUUUCAGUCGAGAAGAAAANGCUGCNGUNAAUAACUGUAGUUCAUGACGGUAUCGACAGAAGAAGCACCGGCUAACUACGUGCCAGCAGCCGCGGUAAUACGUAGGGUGCGAGCGUUAAUCGGAAUUACUGGGCGUAAAGGGUGCGCAGGCGGCUUUGUAAGUCAGAUGUGAAAUCCCCGGGCUUAACCUGGGAAU